GUGUGGGCAAGCAUAAAUGGUUGCUCAUAAUCACAAAAACAGUUCAAGAUACCCCACAUCACACAGAGCAAAGAAAGAAGAAACCAAAUAGAGAAAGAGAGCUUUCCUUGAGCACCACUUUCUUUCAUCAGAAGCCCCUUUGGAAAGAUCCUCUUACAUUUCAUUGACCAGAACUGGCCACCUGCCUGCUCUGAAAGGCAAGAGAAGCUGAAGAGAGCAGCACCCUUUGGAGACUAUCUGACACUCCAGUAAAGGCAUAGAGCUGCUUUGAACAGUCCAAGUUAAUUGGAAAUCUCAACUAGAACCAGGCUGCACUUUCCAAGACCAUUUGAAAAUUCAUGAUCAAUAUUCAAAUUGCCCCUGUGAAUCCAGCUAUAUUGGGGUCUUCACACUAUUUAAAGUCACAGCCUUGUCUUUGAGAGCCCUGUAUUAGACCACUGAUCUGCGAAUUACCCUAAAAACUCACAAAAUGUGUAAAGCUUUCAGAUUGUGGAAAGGCCCUCUCUUGAUUAAAAGAGAAUCUUCU
This is a long non-coding RNA of Talpa occidentalis (Iberian mole), 526 nucleotides long. RefSeq lists it as uncharacterized. The record is from RefSeq and is a predicted model, not a curated record. The transcript is spliced from 4 exons. Lineage: Eukaryota; Metazoa; Chordata; Mammalia; Eulipotyphla; Talpidae.